This 2826-nucleotide long non-coding RNA is filed under the name Piliocolobus tephrosceles (Ugandan red Colobus). Its description in RNAcentral is "lncRNA (ENSPTEG00000000075.1)". The record is from RNAcentral. Lineage: Eukaryota; Metazoa; Chordata; Mammalia; Primates; Cercopithecidae.
CAAGAACAACAACAAGAACAAGAACAAGAACAAGAACAAGAACAAGAACAAGAACAANNNNNNNNNNAACAAGAACAAGAACAAGAACAAGAACAAGAACAAGAACAAGAACAACAACUACAACAACUACAACUACAACAACUACAACAACUACAACAACAACAACAACAACUACAACAACAACCACUUGGUCACAUGCACUCUUACCCAAAUGGAACUAACAUUGACAGCAAAAAAAAUAAACCAAGUACAAACACAUUUUAUAAUAUUAUAAACUUAACAAAUAUGGAAUAUAACAAUAUACAAACAACUAUGGAAUGUUCUUAUUUGUUAAAAUAUAAUAUUUUAUUAUUAACUUUGGUCAUACAAAAAAUGAAAUAUAUUACUAAUCGUUCCAUAUUCAUUGAAGAAUUAUAUAUAUUAGAAAGUCUUAAUAUAUUAAUACAUAUAUAUUAUAAAAAUAUUAUGAACAUGAAUAAAUUAAUAAACGAAAAAUCCUUUUAUUUAAAAGAAAUCUCAACAUUUUAUAAUGAUAUGUCAUCAGCAUUAAAAAAAAACACACCAACAAAUAUACCGGACAAAAAUGAAGAUUUAUACUUUUUAUUUUUCAUUAAAUACAUUUUUUAUAAUUUAAAAAAUGCGAAAUGGGAUUUUAAAUAUUUAAAAAAAAAUAUUAAUAAAUCUGCUUUAGAAAAAACAUUUUUUAUAGUUUUAUCUUUACUUAGUAAUAUAAGAUAUGUAUUAACACAAAGUAUGAAUUAUAAGAAUAUAAACACUUUUCAUUCAGUUUGUAUGGAAUUAAAUAGUAAGGGUGUUGCUAAUGUUGCUGGUGUUGCCAGAACUACUGGAAUUACUGACACCAUCGACACUACUGCUAUGAAUAUAACUAGUAAAAGCCAAACAGAACUAACAAAAAAAAAAAUUAUUAAAAAUAUAACUAACAACAUAAAUAUAAUAAACAAUGAAAUAGUUUUAACACUUACAAAUUAUAUGAACUUAUUUAAUCCAAAUGAAACUAUUUUUGGCUAUGAUAGAAAUUUAACUACUUAUAUAUCUUUUUUAUAUAAUGAUAUAUAUUUCCAAAAUAAUUAUAAAAUAAAAAAAUUUGUUUUUUCUUUUUUUUUAAAUAACUAUAAAAAAUUAAAUUCGAAUUUAGAAACCAAUAAAAAUAAUAUGUACAUGCAAUAUAUAACAAUUUAUAAUUUUUUAAAACAGUUCCAAAAUAAUAUUAACAAACCAUCAGAACAAUAUUAUACAAUUUUAAAGUUUUUCAUGGAAUGUUUUGAUAAUAAUGUGUACCAACAAUUGAAGGGUAGUAGUUCACAACAUAACAGUUUAAGUACAAACAUAAGCAAUAUCAACAGUAGUAUAAGCGAUAUCAACAGUAGUACAAACAGUGACAACAGUAGUACAAACAGUGACAACAGUAGUAUAAACAGUGACAACAGUAGUAUAAACUGUGACAAUGGGACAAGUAAAAAUAACAUCGUUGAUGAAAUAAAUGAUAUAAAAUAUUACUUACACCUUUUAAACAAAUUGUGCUAUUUUUACUUUUUAUUAAAAAAAUUUAUUACGAAUUCAGAAUUUGUACUUUAUAUAAAUCAUCAUUUUUAUAUGACCUUUUAUCUAAUUUAUCAAUUUGUUGAAAAAAAUAUGAACAAGUCACAAAUUUUUACAACUUUUGUUAACCAAUGCAUAAUUAAAAUCAUAAGUAUAUUAACUGUUCAUAAAUAUUUUAAAAUUUCUGCAACAGAUGAUCAAAUUAAAUGUUUGUCUAAAUUUUUAUUAUUAACACAUACAAUUAUUAACAACGAAAAUAAAAAAAAAAUUGCUUUUUACAUUAUUCCUUUUGUCAAAUUGCCAGACAAUGUUAUUCAAAAGUUUAUACCAGUUGCACUUACCAACCAAACAAUGCUGGACAUAAAGAAAAAAAAUGAAACAAAUGGAGAAGAGACAGAAGAGACAGAAGAAAAUGGAGAAGAGACAGAAGAAAAUGGAGAAAAGACAGAAGAAAAUGGAAAAGAGGCUGAAAAAAAAGAAGAAGAAAAAGAAAAAAUAGAAGAAGAACAAAAACAAAAAAAACAACAACAUAAAAAUGAUAACUGUGAGUAUAACAAUCCCAAAACAUAUGAUGACCCAAACAUACAACAAGUUAAAAAUAAUGUUAACGGAAAUAAACAAAUUAAUUCAAACAAAAAAACUUGUAAUUUUUCUAUUCACUAUAAUGAUCAUAACAAUAUAAAUACCAAAACAAAUAUUAUGAUCAUCGAACAUAAUAUGACACAACUCAUACAUAUUUUACAAAAAGAAAAAAAUUACAAAAUUAAUAAUAACGAAUUAUGUGAUAUGUUAAUUGAUUACAUGAAUCAUAAUAUUUUAAUUAAAAAAGAAAAUAUAAUAUUAAAAAAAAAUUAAAUUAUAUUGAACUUAAUUUAGAUAAAUUUAUUUCUUCUUAUAUUACCAGUUUAAUAUCUACGAACACAUUAUGUGUGUCCACUAAACAAGGUGUAAAUUUAAGUAAUAUACAAAAUUCCAUUUUAAAAGAAAAAUUAUAUGAACAAAUUAACUGUAUGGAAAAAAAAGGAAAAGAUGAAAAAACAGAACACACUAUUGUGAUUGUACCAAAUGAAAAUAACGAUAAAAAUGUUUCGAACAUAGUUCAAGGAGAUAAAGGCAUAACAACUAUGAUAAAAAAAAUUAGGCAAAACCAUAACAUAAGCUUACAAUUUGACUAUAACCAUUUAAACAUUAAUAAUGAGUAUUUCAAUGAAUUAAAAAAAUUUGAAAAACAAAAUUAUAUCAAAAUAAAUAACACACUUAUAAACA